UGAGGAAUAUUGGUCAAUGGGCGCGAGCCUGAACCAGCCAAGUCGCGUGAGGGAUGACGGCCCUACGGGUUGUAAACCUCUUUUUGUCGGGGGAGCAAAUUCCGCCACGUGUGGCGGAGUCGAGAGUACCCGAAGAAAAAGCAUCGGCUAACUCCGUGCC
RNAcentral lists this ribosomal RNA (160 nucleotides) under uncultured bacterium. RNAcentral describes it as "partial 16S ribosomal RNA". It matches the Rfam family "Bacterial small subunit ribosomal RNA", at positions 355 to 509 of the family's 1533-position model. The record is from RNAcentral.